This 253-nucleotide ribosomal RNA is filed under the name uncultured bacterium. Its description in RNAcentral is "partial 16S ribosomal RNA". It matches the Rfam family "Bacterial small subunit ribosomal RNA", at positions 524 to 776 of the family's 1533-position model. The record is from RNAcentral.
UACGUAGGGUGCGAGCGUUGUCCGGAUUCACUGGGUUUAAAGGGUGCGUAGGUGGGUUGGUAAGUCAGUGGUGAAAUCCCCGAGCUUAACUUGGGAACUGCCAUUGAUACUAUCAGUCUUGAAUACCGUGGAGGUCAGCGGAAUAUGUCAUGUAGCGGUGAAAUGCUUAGAUAUGACAUAGAACACCAAUUGCGAAGGCAGCUGGCUACACGGAUAUUGACACUGAGGCACGAAAGCGUGGGGAUCAAACAGG